Molecule: ribosomal RNA, 435 nt
Filed under: Triticum aestivum (bread wheat)
Lineage: Eukaryota; Viridiplantae; Streptophyta; Magnoliopsida; Poales; Poaceae
Description: partial small subunit ribosomal RNA
Source: RNAcentral
AUGGUUGAUACCGUAGACGGUGUGGAGGAACACUCCGGUGUGAAUCCGAUCUCGUCUACGGGCGAUGGGGGAACCUCGGUCUCUCGUGAGGAGUUCAAUGUGGCCUUAGAGACAUUGAAGACCUCCAUGACGACCGAGGUUGAAAGCAUGUUUACUAAAUUUCUUGAGGGGCUUAAACUUUCCACCGCACCGUUGAAAGUGGGUGAUCCCACCGACAAGGCGACGGAUGUUAUCCCCGACAAGGGGGAAGCUAGUAGUGAAAAGGCUCCGUCUUCUAGUGGUAAAAAUGGCACCGGCAUCUUUGCUCAUGUGGAACCACCAUUUGUUUAUGAUGGACCGGUUCCUUCUACUCAUUUGAAUCAUGCCGGUCCUCCCUUUAAGAUUGUGAAAAAUGAGGACUUUGAUUCUUGGGUUACCGCUUUAAACGUCAUUUAA